This 521-nucleotide ribosomal RNA is filed under the name uncultured bacterium. RNAcentral describes it as "bacterial SSU rRNA". It matches the Rfam family "Bacterial small subunit ribosomal RNA", at positions 26 to 518 of the family's 1533-position model. The record is from RNAcentral.
AGGACGAACGCUGGCGGCGUGCCGUAAUACAUGCAAGUCGAACGGUCUUUCUAUGGAAGCUUGCUUCCACUGAGAAGAUAGUGGCGAACGGGUGAGUAACACGUGGGUAACCUGCCCAUAAGAGGGGGAGUAACAUCCGGAAACGGGUGCUAAUACCGCAUAGUUUUCUUGAUCGCAUGAUUGAGAAAGGAAAGACGGCCUUUGUGCUGUCGCUUAUGGAUGGACCCGCGGCGUAUUAGUUAGUUGGUGAGGUAACGGCUCACCAAGACGAUGAUACGUAGCCGACCUGAGAGGGUGAUCGGCCACAUUGGGACUGAGACACGGCCCAAACUCCUACGGGAGGCAGCAGUAGGGAAUCUUCCGCAGUGGACGAAAGUCUGACGGAGCAACGCCGCGUGAGUGAAAGAAGGUUUUCGGAUCGUAAAACUCUGUUGUCAGAGAAGAACAAGUUGGAGAGUAACUGCUCCAGCCUUGACGGUAUCUGACCAGAAAGCCACGGCUAACUACGUGCCAGCCGCGGC